GGCCCUCCGCACAUCCCUUACGGGAGGUCACACCUGCACAAUGGCCUACGGGUUCAAUUGCCGCGGUAACCUGACCGUGCAAAGGUAGCGUAAUAAAUAGCCUAUUAAUUGUUGGCCCGCAUGAAUGGUUUUACGCUGGUGGCGCUGUCUCAGCAGUAUUUAUUUGAACUUAACUUCUGGGUGAAAAGGCCCAGAUACCCCUGAAAGACGAUUAGACCCUAUCGAACUUUAGGUAGAUCGGACACCAGGGUGCAAUUGAGCAGACCUGUUUUUCGCUAAACCUUUGGUUGGGGAAACCGGGGAUCAAAAAAACCGCCCCCCCCCUCCUUGAAAGUAGACACCCAUUAAAUGGGGGCAGGCAUAUACCAAAAGUCCUAGCCUCAAGGGCUAUUAGCCUUCAGGAAAGUCAUCUAUCCAAACCUCCUAAGAGUCUGACAAGACAUAUCUUACUUGUACUAUGAACCUAAAGACCUGCUUCCACAGGCAACUGUUAAUUGGGAAGAGUUACCGUAGGGAUAACAGCGUAAUCUUCCCGGCGAGACCACAUUAAGGGGAGGGUUUGCGACCUCGAUGUUGGCUUAGGGCUUCCUAGAAGUGCA
Molecule: ribosomal RNA, 599 nt
Filed under: Lottia atrata
Lineage: Eukaryota; Metazoa; Mollusca; Gastropoda; Lottiidae
Description: partial 16S ribosomal RNA
Rfam family: Bacterial large subunit ribosomal RNA
Source: RNAcentral